This 504-nucleotide ribosomal RNA is filed under the name uncultured bacterium. Its description in RNAcentral is "bacterial SSU rRNA". It matches the Rfam family "Bacterial small subunit ribosomal RNA", at positions 16 to 507 of the family's 1533-position model. The record is from RNAcentral.
AUCCUGGCUCAGAUUGAACGCUGGCGGCCAAGGCCUAACACAUGCAAGUCGAACGGUAACAGGAAACAGCUUGCUGCUUCGCUGACGAGUGGCGGACGGGUGAGUAAUGUCUGGGAAGCUGCCUGAUGGAGGGGGAUAACUACUGGAAACGGUAGCUAAUACCGCAUAAUGUCGCAAGACCAAAGAGGGGGACCUUCGGGCCUCUUGCCAUCGGAUGUGCCCAGAUGGGAUUAGCUUGUUGGUGGGGUAACGGCUCACCAAGGCGACGAUCCCUAGCUGGUCUGAGAGGAUGACCAGCCACACUGGAACUGAGACACGGUCCAGACUCCUACGGGGGGCAGCAGUGGGGAAUAUUGCACAAUGGGCGCAAGCCUGAUGCAGCCAUGCCGCGUGUAUGAAGAAGGCCUUCGGGUUGUAAAGUACUUUCAGCGGGGAGGAAGGGAGUAAAGUUAAUACCUUUGCUCAUUGACGUUACCCGCAGAAGAAGCACCGGCUAACUCCGUG